Molecule: ribosomal RNA, 512 nt
Filed under: uncultured bacterium
Lineage: Bacteria
Description: bacterial SSU rRNA
Rfam family: Bacterial small subunit ribosomal RNA
Source: RNAcentral
GGGGGAAACCCUGACGCAGCAACGCCGCGUGGGUGAAGAAGGCCUUCGGGUCGUAAAGCCCUUUCGGACGGGACGAACGCUCCGCGGUGACAACCCGCGGAGCCUGACGGUACCGUAAGAAGAAGCACCGGCUAACUCCGUGCCAGCAGCCGCGGUAAUACGGAGGGUGCAAGCGUUGUUCGGAAUUACUGGGCGUAAAGCGCGUGUAGGCGGCCUUGCAAGCCAGACGUGAAAGCCCUCGGCUUAACCGGGGAAGUGCGUCUGGAACUGCUCGGCUCGAGUACGGGAGAGGGAGGCGGAAUUCCCAGUGUAGAGGUGAAAUUCGUAGAUAUUGGGAGGAACACCGGUGGCGAAAGCGGCCUCCUGGACCGAUACUGACGCUGAGACGCGAAAGCGUGGGGAGCAAACAGGAUUAGAUACCCUGGUAGUCCACGCUGUAAACGAUGGGCACUAGGUGUGGGGGGUAUCCACUCCUCCCGUGCCGCAGCUAACGCACUAAGUGCCCCGCCUGG